UUGUACGAAGAUCUAAGCUUAGUAGACACAGUUUUAAUUUCUUCCCGAUAGCAUAUCAGUAUGAAGAGUGCCCUUUUACUCGUAAUCCUGCUGACGACGACGGCGCUUGCUACCGGCGUCCUCGCAGCGUAUAAUGACCCGCUUCAGCCAGACUACCUCCUACCUUCGGAUGGCAAGCCAGGUUACCCAUACACGAGCGGAGAUACGCGAUGGAGAAAAACCCCACCAGCGAAAACUAUAACCGGGGAGGAGUUGCGAAGAUCGGUUAUCGCAAGCGGCGGCUGCGAUAAUCAUAUUCACAUACGGCCUCCUCCCGCAAUAAUCUCAGGAGAGUGUCGCCGCCUGCGAAGAUUGGUUUUGGCAGGCGCCCGUUAUGUGUUCCGCCUGCGAAAAUAGCGCUGGAUAGUCAUCUUCCUCCCCAAGCUCUAUUCAUUCUAUCCGGUGUUUCUCUCUCCUAAAGCUCAGAGAAGAUGACCCCAAGAAGGCCGCUGAACUAGCCAGAAAAAAAUACUUUCCAAUUGAUGGCUGCCAGGAAAAAUACCAACAUGGGAAAGCAAUAUGGCUGGAUUUUGCACUUGAUGACGGUCCAUGGGAGAUGACAAGGUUAUAUAAAUGGUACAUGGAUGCCAGCAAGAAAGGCCUAAGUCAUAUAACAAUUCGAUCACCGCAUGAUGCUUUCGCCGGCGACGGUUACUUCUGGCUAGAUUUUGAAGAUCUCCACGCCAUAUAUCGUCAGGAAAAGAUUGACGUCAACUAUAUCGGUGCUUAGUGCAUGAAUGCAUGGAUGCUAAGAAGGAAAAAGAACCUAUCGGAUUCCUGCAUCCAACUAGGAUCUGUCAAACACAGCAUACCGUGAGGCUAUCACCAAGGUCGGAGCAGCUGAAAGACAAGACUCCCGAAUAGAUAGCUGAAUAUAAGAAGGGCUUGCACAAGCAGAAAAUAAUUACUGUUGCACAGUAUAUUGGACGAGCCUUCUUGCACUUUCAAAAUAAGAGAGUCGUCCUAACCGUUUAUAAUUUUAAGUCUGGUAAAUUUAUCUUCUACAUAUGUGUCUUGUUUUAUCCGUGACUAACUGCACUGUCAUUAAUAUAUACAUUAAUAUAUAGCGAUCAUUAUAUCUGUUUAAUCAUCUACCCGAAGCACGGAAUCGUGAUAGUCUUGGACCCUCUCGAUUACCGUCACGAGUCAUACAAAGAAUUUCUAAUAAUCUUACAAUAUACGUACAACUACUACAAGUUCAUGGGUGGAGAACAGAUUCGAACAAGUGAGAAGCUGCUAGUACAUACAUAUUGGCCGUGUCAUAAGCAACCUAGAGGCACUGUCCUAUACGGGUAUUACGCGUGCGAAUUCCUCAGGGUUAAUGGAAGGUACAGGGUUAACGCAAAGAAUUUGCCAAGAAUAGAACGUCGAACAAGCUUUGACAAUACAAGCAUCACAAAUAUCCAGCACGAUCUCUUCCACUUCAUCCACCGUGAGUAUUGUCAUGUGGAAGGAAAGUUCUUCAACCCAGAGGGUGCCCUAGCUACAAGUGAUGAAUACAAGAAUCUUCGGGAGUGUAGCAAUGCUAUGCCAUAAUGUAAUUAGAUAACGUAUUUCAAGUGACAAUAUGUAAAAAAUAUUGUAAUAUUUUGAUGACACUUUUCACUUAUGCAAUAUAUGUAGAUUUCUCAGUAUCAAAAGCUUGUUUUUUACUAAUAUUAUUUAUGCAUCAAUUAUAAUUAAAUAAUUGAAAAAUAAUUUAUGAGCAAAUUAUUAUUGUAUCAAAUUUCAAAUUGUUUACCUAUCCUCGCAGACGGCAUUUCAUUGUUUUUGCAGUCAGCAAUUCUCUACUUUCGCAGAUGGCCCAUCUAUCUCCACUCCGUCUGGGAAAAUGAUCUUCCCAGGCGGACCACCAACCCGUCUGCGAACAUCAACGAUCUUCACAGGCGUUGGGCUGCCGGCCGUCCGCCUGAAAAGACGCGUUCUCCCUGGGCGAAAAUGCUUUUUCUAAGUAGUGGCAGCUGCCGGCGAGGGAAGCUCGCUCCGGCGAGACAGCCAGACGCCACGCCCCUUCUUUUCCCCACAACUCCAAUCGCCUCCAAACCUCAGAUCCGACGGCACCAGCUCUAUCAACGCGUGACGCGACAGCGGAGCCGCGACUCGAAGCUAACUGAGCGAGCUCGCCUCGCCGGCGGUUGAUUUCAUCUUGGUCUGGCUCGUCGUCUUCGUGGGGUACGGUCCAGUUUCAGCCUCCAGGGCAUCGUGACCUCCUCCUAUUUCCCAUAUGCACUGAUCGCACUUUAAAUUGUAGCAGGUCAAUGUAAAAAGCUUACUACAGUUUGCCUGGCCCAGUUAAUAUAACACUGUUCUAAAAAAAAAAGUUAACAUAACACUAAUGUCUACGUGCAAGUCUUAUGGUUACGGUGUUUCAAGGCAUGUGCUUCAUUUACAUUGACACAGCUGACAAUAAUAAAUUUGCAAAAUUAUUUGUAAGCUUAUUCUGUAGUUUUCUUACCGAACCUUAAUUUGGUAUGCUCUAUUGUUUACUUGUCCAGAAACCUAAUGCACCGCUGCGUGGUGUUCCUGUUGCCCGUGGGGAGUGAAAAGUUUUCUUUCACUCUUCCCUUUUUUUUAAGGUCACUACUUGUUUUAAUGUAAAACAACCGAGUGCGCGUACUCUCACCGGGGAACACACAGGA
Molecule: non-coding RNA, 2678 nt
Organism: Oryza sativa Japonica Group (Japanese rice)
Lineage: Eukaryota; Viridiplantae; Streptophyta; Magnoliopsida; Poales; Poaceae
Source: RefSeq, a predicted model, not a curated record